Molecule: non-coding RNA, 742 nt
Filed under: Longitarsus ibericus
Lineage: Eukaryota; Metazoa; Arthropoda; Insecta; Coleoptera; Chrysomelidae
Source: RNAcentral
AAAAAGUUUUAUUUUAGCUUAAAGGUUAAUUAUUAUUUUUAAUUAUAUGUAAAUUUUGUUAGAGAAUAGGGUGCAGUAUUUAGUAUUAUUUAUUUAAGAAAUUAAGAAUUAGAAAUAAGGGGUAGUAUAAACUAAAUUUGUGCCAGCAGUUGCGGUUAUACAAAUUAUACAAAUUAAUUUUAUUAAUUUUAAUUAAUUGGAAUUAAAUUUUAAAAUUAAAUUUAUUUGGUGAAAUUGUAAAUUUAAAAUAAAAUUUAAAUUUGGUAAUUAUGUUAAGAAAUUUCAUUUAUAAACUAGGAUUAGAUACCCUAUUAUUUGAAAGGUGAUUUAUUUAUUAAAUUAGUAUUAGUUAUGAUCUUGAAAAUUAAAAAUUUUGGCGGUGUUUUAAUCUAUUCAGAGGAACCUGUUCUAUAAAUGAUAGUCCACGAUUUUAUUUACUUUUAUUAUUAAUUUAUAUAUCGUCGUUAUUUAAAUAUUUUUGUAGGAUUAUAAUAUUUAAAAUUUUUUAUAAAAAAAUAUUUCAGAUCAAGGUAUAGUGAAUAUAAGAGAAGAAAUGGGUUACAAUAAAUAUAUUUUAGGAUUUUUAUUUUUAAAGUAUUUUGAAUUUGGAUUUGAUUGUAAUUUUGAUUAAUUUAUUAAAGUGAUUUUAGCUCUAAAACAUGUACAUAUUGCCCGUCGCUUUCAUUUAAUAUGAAAUAAGUCGUAACAAAGUAGUUUUACUGGAAAGUGAAUCUAGAAACAA